GCGAGGUGACAAGUUGGGGGAAUACACGACAAAAAACCGUUACAAACGGUGUGUCACAGAGGAUCUAAACCUGUUGAGAAAUGAAAUAACAACAUAUCUGGAACAAACUAGAAAUUAUUAUACAAAAAUUUGGAGCCUAAAGAUUCCCAGCAAGGUACGGAUCAAUCUAUUGAGAAUUAAAAAUAAUUUCUUUCCUACAUUAAGUAACUUAAAAGCCCGUAGGCUGAGAUAUGAUGCCCUAUGCUCGCUAUGUGGGGAAGAAGAUGAGUCAGUUAGCCAUAUUUUUAGAGAUUGCAACCUUGCGAAACAAGUCCUCUAGCAAAUGACAGUGACAUUGCCGCCCAUACAUGACAAUCAAGAAUGGAAACAAUGGUUAGCUGAGACGUUCAAUAUCAAUAAUGCAUAUAAAUCCACAUGCCUAGCAGUAUCGCUAUGGACAAUACGGCAUAACAUGAGCAAAUACUACCACGAAGGUAUUCAACAAAGAAUAUGCGAGAUAGUGGCCUUUAUCAAAGCAUAUAUAACAAAAAUUUGACAUGCUAUAGGAAGCACUGAAAUGCAAACAUAUUACAGAUCCCAGUGGGAACCCCCAACAGAAAGUCAAGUAAAAGCAAACUUUGUUACCGCGUUUCAACAAUAGAGCAACAAAACAGUUUCGAAAAUAAUCAUCAGAAAUCAUAUGGGGCUAGUUAUGAGUUCAUGUACUUACCUGAUCAACAACGUUUGAGAUCCGACAACCUCCAAAGUGUAUGCAUGCCUUCAAGGAGUUGUCUUUGCAGAAGAAAUGGGGUUUGGCAAUGUAAUCAUCGAAUGGGACUCAAGAACCG
This 827-nucleotide long non-coding RNA is filed under the name Gossypium barbadense (sea-island cotton). RNAcentral's name for it is "long non-coding RNA (GBAR_LNC021091)". The record is from RNAcentral. Lineage: Eukaryota; Viridiplantae; Streptophyta; Magnoliopsida; Malvales; Malvaceae.